GACGAACCGUGCAAACGUUGUUCGGAAUCACUGGGCUUAAAGGGCGCGUAGGCGGGCCAGACAGUCUGUGGUGAAAGCCUCCAGCUUAACUGGAGAAGUGCCGUGGAUACUGCUGGCCUCGAGGAGGGUAGGGGCAUCUGGAACGGUCGGUGGAGCGGUGAAAUGCGUUGAUAUCGACCGGAACUCCGGUGGCGAAGGCGAGGUGCUGGACCCUUUCUGACGCUGAGGCGCGAAAGCCAGGGGAGCAAACGGG
This 253-nucleotide ribosomal RNA is filed under the name uncultured bacterium. RNAcentral describes it as "partial 16S ribosomal RNA". It matches the Rfam family "Bacterial small subunit ribosomal RNA", at positions 524 to 776 of the family's 1533-position model. The record is from RNAcentral.